UGGGGGAUAUUGCGCAAUGGAGGAAACUCUGAUGCAGCAACGCCGCGUGAGGGAAGAAGGUCUUCGGAUUGUAAACCUUAGUAGUCAGGGACGAAAGAAAUGACGGUACCUGAAGAGUAAGCUCCGGCUAACUACGUGCCAGCAGCCGCGGUAAUACGUAGGGAGCGAGCGUUGUCCGGAUUUACUGGGUGUAAAGGGUGCGUAGGCGGGACUGCAAGUCAGACGUGAAAUACCGAGGCUUAACUUCGGGGCUGCGUUUGAAACUGUGGUUCUUGAGUGAAGUAGAGGCAGGCGGAAUUCCUAGUGUAGCGGUGAAAUGCGUAGAUAUUAGGAGGAACACCAGUGGCGAAGGCGGCCUGCUGGGCUUUAACUGACGCUGAAGCACGAAAGCAUGGGGAGCAAACAGGAUUAGAUACCCUGGUAGUCCAUGCCGUAAACGAUGAUAGCUAGGUGUGGGGGGACUGACCCUUCCGUGCCGCAGCAAACGCAAUAAGCUAUCCACCUGGGGAGUACGACCGCAAGGUUGAAACUCAAAUGAAUUGACGGGGUCAUAGCUGUUUUCCU
This 564-nucleotide ribosomal RNA is filed under the name uncultured bacterium. Its description in RNAcentral is "partial 16S ribosomal RNA". It matches the Rfam family "Bacterial small subunit ribosomal RNA", at positions 355 to 1375 of the family's 1533-position model. The record is from RNAcentral.